CUACUUUCCUGGACGGGAUCAAUGGAUGAUUCAAAAGGCUCUUCGCCUUGGUAGGUGACCUCUAUUUGCACAUAAAGAAGGGAUACCAGCCUAAGGACUUCCCAAGUGGAAGAUCCUUGGUCAUUAUUUGUUGCAUCGAGGGUUUGCGUGCAGCUCCAGU
Small nuclear RNA from Quercus lobata, 160 nucleotides. RefSeq annotates it as U1 spliceosomal RNA. The transcript has a single exon. NCBI's taxonomy places the organism in Eukaryota, Viridiplantae, Streptophyta, Magnoliopsida, Fagales, Fagaceae. The record is from RefSeq and is a predicted model, not a curated record.